This 207-nucleotide ribosomal RNA is filed under the name uncultured bacterium. RNAcentral describes it as "partial 16S ribosomal RNA". It matches the Rfam family "Bacterial small subunit ribosomal RNA", at positions 568 to 774 of the family's 1533-position model. The record is from RNAcentral.
CACGUAGGCGGCUUGUUAAGUCAGGGGUGAAAUCCUGGAGCUCAACUCCAGAACUGCCUUUGAUACUGGCAAGCUUGGAGUCCGGGAGAGGUGAGUGGAACUGCGAGUGUAGAGGUGAAAUUCGUAGAUAUUCGCAAGAACACCAGUGGCGAAGGCGGCUCACUGGCCCGGUACUGACGCUGAGGUGCGAAAGCGUGGGAGCAAACA